CCAACAGGCCGGGUGGCCGCCGCUUCUCUUAUGAGGAGGGGAGGAAAGUCCGGGCUCCGAUGGACAAAGUGCUGGGUAACGCCCAGGGUUUUGGAAUUCUCCAAAGAUUCCAAAAUACGGAUAGUGGCACAGAAACAUACCGCCUCUGAUUCUUUUACAAGAAUCUAAUGGUCUAGUUGACCGAGGUAAGGUUGAAAUCGGAUGGUAAGAGCGUCCGGUCGACUACGGCAACGUAGCGAUGGCUAAACCCCACUUGGAGCAAGGCCGAAUAGGGGGAUCAUGAGAGUCCUACUCGUCCCCGGGUUGGCUGCUAGAUCAUGAUGGUAACAUCGCGCAUUGGUGCCAGGAUAUCAAGCGAUAUCUUGAUGGCUAGAUAGAUGGUCACCACCCUCCAGCCUAGAUUUUCUUUGUUGGACUGGGUACAGAACCCGGCUUAUAGGCCUGUUGGAUCU
This 452-nucleotide RNase P RNA is filed under the name Chloroflexota bacterium. Its description in RNAcentral is "RNase P RNA component class A". It matches the Rfam family "Bacterial RNase P class A". Rfam says of the family: Ribonuclease P (RNase P) is a ubiquitous endoribonuclease, found in archaea, bacteria and eukarya as well as chloroplasts and mitochondria. Its best characterised activity is the generation of mature 5'-ends of tRNAs by cleaving the 5'-leader elements of precursor-tRNAs. The record is from RNAcentral. Lineage: Bacteria; Bacillati; Chloroflexota.